UUAAACCUCAUAAUGUGUGCCUGUGAUCCCCAGCUUUUCUUCUUUAUGAGAGUGUUAACGUUCUUCUUCCUUUUUUUUUUUUUCUAUUGAAAUCUGUGGGAGAGUAAGUGCAGGAUCUGGUCCCUAAAGCUGCUCCAUCACGUUGCCAAGUAACCAGAGGAGUAAUAUAGUUUGUUUUCCAUGGAGGGCAGGAAGAAUCAAAGUGCUUGUGUGAAGGAUCACAGAGCCUAAGGAAAUGUGUGAUCAGUGAGGAGACUGAAACCAGCAUGAUCCUGCCACUUAGAGACAUUCUGUACCCUAAGUGUGUCUCAUGCCUUCUUAUUUCUGCCCUCUCCAUGGACGACCUAGAAGAACAGUAGCUCACUACAGUUCUCAUGUGAUAACUGAAUGUGAACUAAUAGCGAGCUGACAAUACACUUUCAUGCUUUAUGAAAAGGAGUAUAUGAGGGAGCUGACAAGAGUAAGGAGACCUGGAAAUGUUCCCUGGUCACUUCAGCCUUGUCACUGUCACUUCUUCAGACAGCAAGCAUCUGUGGGGAAGAGCGAGCUGGAGGAACCUGCUCUAGGGAAUCUGCACCAUGUCUGCAUACAGGCUGGGCAAGACUUGCAAGCCACAAGUAGACCAUUUGUCUUUGGUCCCAAAAGAUCAUGAAUGCCUGAAAUGGUGCUGCAGACACUAAGAAUGCAAGAAGGAACUUUCAAAUCAAGAAUUUCAGGAGGAAAGAUAAAAGGUUUUGGACUUUUCAUUGAAGGUACAGUUCAUUCAUGCUUUCCAUUGCUUUCUAUAUUCCUUGCUCUUUACUGUAGGAUACUUUCCCACUUGACAGUAAAAAAAAGAAGAGACAGUUCACAUCUCUUGCGACAUCCAACCAGAAAAAAAAAAAAUGCAGCUAGUUUAGAUGAGUAUUUAAUGGAAAUGUAAAGUUAUAGAUACAGAGGUCAACCUCUUGUUUUACAGUUGUGCUGUCUGUAAAACAUUGGAUUCCUAGUCCACCAUCAAUUACGGGUAUUACCACAGUAACAGUAUACAGUCAGGGUGUAUUUUUCCCUAUGUAUAAUAAAUUAACAUGGUUCAUGUAAAUUCCUGAAUUGGUACUUAUGUCCUUUUGUUAUCACCUCUGAUACUGGUUACAUGGAAUCAGGGAAGUCAUUUUUCUCUGCCUUGGUUUUGCUUUGUUUCUAAUAUUCCCUUCAGCUGGAAAAUGAUUUUAGUUCUCUAUUACAAAAAUGUGAUAUAAAUCUAGUCCUGAGAAUCUUAAAAUCUGUAGGAAACAGCUGAAUAAAUGGAGUUUAUUAAAUGUGACUUCCUACAGUCUUAGUGAGGACUUCUCUAACAAUUAAAGCCAGAAUUCUCAAAUGGCAGAAGCUUUUUUUGUCUGUCCAUUCUCAGAAGUGAUUCAACCUCUUAGCUUAGCCCAGAACGUGUGCAGAAAUGCAUCUCCCACAUUAUUCAGAUGGUGUUAAUUGAGGGCUUUCUGCUUUCCUAACAAAAGAGGUGAUAAAUGUCUCUCCCUUUUCGUUUAAAAUCUUCACCUCCUACAGUAGUUUCAGUGUGUUUGAGUGGAUAUAAUAAGUAGACUGCAGAAAUUAAUUAAUUAUAUGUGUUAACUUCUCACUUUUUGCCUUUGUUGAAUCUUCUCUUUUUUCCCUCGGCCUUGACUUUUGCAAAAUUAAAGUUGUCUCCCAGGGUGUAUAGCUUUUAAUUUGAGUCUAUACUGUAUUUAGCUGCUGCAGCGCGUCAAGCAUGUGGAACAUUUUAACAAGGAGUUUUUAAUGAAUCCCUGGGAAGAAAGUGCCCUCGAAAACAAUACUUCAGUACGUAAGCACUUAUAUACUCUGCAACAAUAAAAACAGAACACAUGGAAAAGAUUUUCCUGCCUCUCUGUGUUUUAAACAAACUUUAGCCACAAUCAAGGUCAUAGCCAUUCACUGAGAGGUACUUUUGAUUAAAGGUUUUUUUCUCCAAGGUUGCAAGUAAAUUAUUUCAGCCCGUUUGAUGAUUUGCUAGAAAGGUGUGUUAAAUUGCUGGUAAUUUGAAUUGUGUAUUCAAUUGUGUCUACACAUUCCUUGCAUGUUUCCAUAAAUGCCGGCAUCACUUCUGUAUUACUCUUGGCUUCUUGCACUUGUGUCAGAAGGAAAUGAGUGAUUUUAACACAGCCAUGAAGUUCAAUACAAAGUGGAGAGGGGCAGAAUUUCCCUCAGGUCUUAAUCCCAGUGAAGGUUCAGGGCACUGAGCAGUUAUAAUCAGUCACUUGUCUUUCUGAAUUACUCUAUCCAAAGACACAGGCAGCUCUAUAAUGUCUUCUUAUUUUUCUGUACCAUCAAAUGAAUUUGACAUGAGAAGAAAAGAAAAUGGACAACAAGGAAAAUCAGGACACAGGAUUAAGACAGAGAGUUUUGACGUGUUGACCUUAGUUCUGAUUUUAUGCAGUCAAAUGUUUGAUGUUUAUAGUUUUUUGACCGUCUCUGCAACCUUUGCUGAAGCACUGUAAGAAUUAGAUGACUUGAUGUUUCUGAAGCUGUUUUCUUCUGAGGAAAAAAAGGAAACCAACUGAAAAAAAAAAAAAACAAAAAAAAAAAACCCACAACAUUGGACUGUGGUGUUCUGAAGACUGCACGUGAGUUCCUGCUGUUAAACCAAAUAUUUCUCCUCCUAAACGUAUUGAGCUGCAGUAUCUCCAGAAGUAUUGGCUCAACCGCCCUUACCCUGGGUGAUGCACCAUCUCCCUCUCGUGGUGUCUUGAUCAGAGAGCAGUUAAGGAAAAUUCUACUAUAACUUCAGAUAACAGACUUCAAGCUUUCAAGGCUAAAGAGUGAAGAUUCACAAUUGCAGGCACAGUGGUCAAAGUCUGAGAUAAU
This 2859-nucleotide long non-coding RNA is filed under the name Gallus gallus (chicken). Its description in RNAcentral is "lncRNA (ENSGALG00010019031.1)". Lineage: Eukaryota; Metazoa; Chordata; Aves; Galliformes; Phasianidae. The record is from RNAcentral.